GCCCCGGUAAACGGCGGCCGUAACUAUAACGGUCCUAAGGUAGCGAAAUUCCUUGUCGGGUAAGUUCCGACCUGCACGAAUGGCGUAAUGAUGGCCAGGCUGUCUCCACCCGAGACUCAGUGAAAUUGAACUCGCUGUGAAGAUGCAGUGUACCCGCGGCAAGACGGAAAGACCCCGUGAACCUUUACUAUAGCUUGACACUGAACAUUGAGCCUUGAUGUGUAGGAUAGGUGGGAGGCUUUGAAGUGUGGACGCCAGUCUGCAUGGAGCCGACCUUGAAAUACCACCCUUUAAUGUUUGAUGUUCUAACGUUGGCCCGUAAUCCGGGUUGCGGACAGUGUCUGGUGGGUAGUUUGACUGGGGCGGUCUCCUCCUAAAGAGUAACGGAGGAGCACGAAGGUUGGCUAAUCCUGGUCGGACAUCAGGAGGUUAGUGCAAUGGCAUAAGCCAGCUUGACUGCGAGCGUGACGGCGCGAGCAGGUGCGAAAGCAGGUCAUAGUGAUCCGGUGGUUCUGAAUGGAAGGGCCAUCGCUCAACGGAUAAAAGGUACUCCGGGGAUAACAGGCUGAUACCGCCCAAGAGUUCAUAUCGACGGCGGUGUUUGGCACCUCGAUGUCGGCUCAUCACAUCCUGGGGCUGAAGUAGGUCCCAAGGGUAU
RNAcentral lists this ribosomal RNA (658 nucleotides) under Escherichia coli. RNAcentral describes it as "partial 23S ribosomal RNA". It matches the Rfam family "Bacterial large subunit ribosomal RNA", at positions 1917 to 2574 of the family's 2925-position model. The record is from RNAcentral. Lineage: Bacteria; Pseudomonadati; Pseudomonadota; Gammaproteobacteria; Enterobacterales; Enterobacteriaceae.